GAUGAACGCUGGCGGCGUGCCUAAUACAUGCAAGUCGAGCGAACGGACGAGAAGCUUGCUUCUCUGAUGUUAGCGGCGGACGGGUGAGUAACACGUGGAUAACCUACCUAUAAGACUGGGAUAACUUCGGGAAACCGGAGCUAAUACCGGAUAAUAUUUUGAACCGCAUGGUUCAAAAGUGAAAGACGGUCUUGCUGUCACUUAUAGAUGGAUCCGCGCUGCAUUAGCUAGUUGGUAAGGUAACGGCUUACCAUGGCAACGAUGCAUAGCCGACCUGAGAGGGUGAUCGGCCACACUGGAACUGAGACACGGUCCAGACUCCUACGGGAGGCAGCAGUAGGGAAUCUUCCGCAAUGGGCGAAAGCCUGACGGAGCAACGCCGCGUGAGUGAUGAAGGUCUUCGGAUCGUAAAACUCUGUUAUCAGGGAAGAACAUAUGUGUAAGUAACUGUGCACAUCUUGACGGUACCUAAUCAGAAAGCCACGGCUAACUACGUGCCAGCAGCCGCGGUAAUACGUAGGUGGCAAGCGUUAUCCGGAAUUAUUGGGCGUAAAGCGCGCGUAGGCGGUUUUUUAAGUCUGAUGUGAAAGCCCACGGCUCAACCGUGGAGGGUCAUUGGAAACUGGAAAACUUGAGUGCAGAAGAGGAAAGUGGAAUUCCAUGUGUAGCGGUGAAAUGCGCAGAGAUAUGGAGGAACACCAGUGGCGAAGGCGACUUUCUGGUCUGUAACUGACGCUGAUGUGCGAAAGCGUGGGGAUCAAACAGGAUUAGAUACCCUGGUAGUCCACGCCGUAAACGAUGAGUGCUAAGUGUUAGGGGGUUUCCGCCCCUUAGUGCUGCAGCUAACGCAUUAAGCACUCCGCCUUGGGAGUACGACCGCAAGGUUGAAACUCAAAGGAAUUGACGGGGACCCGCACAAGCGGUGGAGCAUGUGGUUUAAUUCGAAGCAACGCGAAGAACCUUACCAAAUCUUGACAUCCUUUGACAACUCUAGAGAUAGAGCUUUCCCCUUCGGGGGACAAAGUGACAGGUGGUGCAUGGUUGUCGUCAGCUCGUGUCGUGAGAUGUUGGGUUAAGUCCCGCAACGAGCGCAACCCUUAAGCUUAGUUGCCAUCAUUAAGUUGGGCACUCUAAGUUGACUGCCGGUGACAAACCGGAGGAAGGUGGGGAUGACGUCAAAUCAUCAUGCCCCUUAUGAUUUGGGCUACACACGUGCUACAAUGGACAAUACAAAGGGCAGCGAAACCGCGAGGUCAAGCAAAUCCCAUAAAGUUGUUCUCAGUUCGGAUUGUAGUCUGCAACUCGACCACAUGAAGCUGGAAUCGCUAGUAAUCGUAGAUCAGCAUGCUACGGUGAAUACGUUCCCGGGUCU
Molecule: ribosomal RNA, 1372 nt
Filed under: uncultured bacterium
Lineage: Bacteria
Description: bacterial SSU rRNA
Rfam family: Bacterial small subunit ribosomal RNA
Source: RNAcentral